This is a long non-coding RNA of Trifolium pratense (red clover), 321 nucleotides long. RefSeq lists it as uncharacterized. The transcript is spliced from 3 exons. Lineage: Eukaryota; Viridiplantae; Streptophyta; Magnoliopsida; Fabales; Fabaceae. The record is from RefSeq and is a predicted model, not a curated record.
UCAGAGGAGUUGUUGGCACAGAAGAUCUGGUAUUCUUUGGAGUCUUGUUUUCUUUCUCAUCAUCAUCAUCAGCAAUGAAUGGUUUGGAAGUACUGUAGAAGAAACAGGAGAGAGUGGCUUCCUAGUUAUUGGUGAUUGAAUUCCAAUUCCCUUUAGUGCACUUUGUGGAGUCAUCGUUGCUGCAUGACCAAAAACCUUAGAGAUUCUGCAGAAUAAUUUCAAAAUUGGAUGAGGAGAUAUAAUAUGAGGUUCAUGGCACAUUAAGAUAAUAAAUUCAAUCUAACAAACUAGUUGUGAAACAAAAUUUUGGGUGCAUCCGUG